AAAGCUUUAGCUUAAUGAAAGCGUCUGGGUUGCAUUCAGAAAAUGUGGGAUAAAGUCCUGCAAGUUUUA
RNAcentral lists this transfer RNA (69 nucleotides) under Tactostoma macropus (longfin dragonfish). RNAcentral describes it as "tRNA-Ala". It matches the Rfam family "tRNA". Rfam says of the family: Transfer RNA (tRNA) molecules are approximately 80 nucleotides in length. Their secondary structure includes four short double-helical elements and three loops (D, anti-codon, and T loops). Lineage: Eukaryota; Metazoa; Chordata; Actinopteri; Stomiiformes; Stomiidae. The record is from RNAcentral.